Molecule: RNA transcript, 4500 nt
Organism: Haplochromis burtoni (Burton's mouthbrooder)
Lineage: Eukaryota; Metazoa; Chordata; Actinopteri; Cichliformes; Cichlidae
Gene: stxbp4
Gene name: syntaxin binding protein 4
Exons: 23
Source: RefSeq, a predicted model, not a curated record
UCCCUGUCUAGGCGGAUUUCCAUUCCUCUCCUCUCUGUGCGGUCACACACACCGUCCCGGUUUGAACCGCCGCUGCCGCCUCUUCUCAUCUCAUCGUCUCCUCUCGGCCGCCCGUCUCGCUCCUGUUUUUUUUCUUUGUGUGUGCGUUUAUGUGAGAGCUCUUUAUUUGUUUGUCUGAGGCCAUCGUGCAAUGCCAUUCCUCCCCCAGGACGCUGAGCGAUUCGAUGGGCUGUCUCUACUCUACUGGACGAUCAUGGGCCCACACGGCAUCAGCCGAGCCGUACAGAGACUGGAGUUCUGCGACUGCAAGAAGGGACUCGGUGUUAAAAUAAUUGGGGGCUACAGAGAGCUGACAGGAGAGGAGUUUGGUAUCUACAUAAAGCGAGUGAUCGCUGGUGGGCUGGCCGCUCUGGAUGGUCGGCUUAAGUCAGGUGACCUGAUUUUGGAUGUCAAUAACAUCAGCCUGAUAGGGGUGACCAAUGAGAGGGCGGUGGAGAUCUUAAGGACGGCCUCGGUCUCCAAUCACAUGUCCCUGCUGAUCGCCAGAGAUGAGGAAUCCAGGAGGGAGUUCGCUGAGCUGAUGGAGAAGUACAGCUCCAACCACAUCACGGCUUCAGGACGAAUCUCUCCCACGCAGCUGUCCACAGGGAAGCUGACGGACACGGCCUCCUCCUCCUCCUCCUCCCGGUCAGAGAGCCCCCAGCUCCUCAGUCCUAAAGAGGGGGUCACGGCCUACACCCACACCGCCCCUUACCCUGCUAACCCUGCCUACGCCAUGCACACACCUGUGCACGCCUUCAGUGACAGUGUCAUUCAGUUGAUAUGUGUCGCCAAGGGAACAGGCCUGGGGCUCAUCAUCAAGGGCGGAGCCAACCGCCCCGAAGGACCAAUGGUGUUCAUUCAGGAAAUCGCGCCUGGAGGAGACUGCCAGAAGGACGGCAGGCUGCAGGUUGGGGACCAGCUGGUGUCCAUUAACAAAGAGUCGCUGAUCGGGGUGACAUACGAGGAGGCCAGGGGCAUCCUGACACGCACCAAACUCAGACCUGACCCGACCGUGGAGAUUGCCUUCAUCAGGCGGAGGUCGUCCUCCAGCUCCAGCAGCGGGCCCCACAGCCCCAUCUCCCUGCAGGGGUCUGGUGGUGGGGGUGGACCCCAGAUAAGGGGCCCGGUCCUGGGCACCGUGCCUCAGCAGCCGGCCGUGGUUACCAAGAUCACCUCCAGCCGAAACCCCGCCAGCGAGACUCUGCCAUCAGUCAACGUCACCCAGGUGCGAGUGUCUCCGAGCAGAGCAGAGCAGACACGUGUGUCCUCGCCUCCGGAGAGUCACAGCCUGCCUGAGACGAACCUCGAGUCUCCGAGCAGUCAGCCUCCUCAGAGGAAGAGCUCCCUCAGCGACAGCUGCCGCCUCAAGAUAGAAAGGUUGGAGCAGGCUCUGGAGCUGAUUGGCCUGAAGCCCUCCGACACUCAGCGGCAGACGCUCCGGUCCAGACUGCGACCUGAUCCGGCUGGGACGGUGGCCUUCACAGACUUCGAGAGCCUGAUCAAGGAGCUGUUCAAGCCUCAGCUGGAGGAGCUGGGCGUCACGCAGCCCGGGUCUCGCUUCACGUCCGACGACCUGUUCAGCUUGCUGGAGUCGCCCAGCGACCCGAGGCCGUCACUGUCGGACUCAGAGGACCUGGAGGAGAUGGAGCGGCUCAGGAAGGAGCACAUCGAGGCUCUGAGGGAGAUCAAGAGGCUGCAGGAGCAGCUGGUCGAGUCUCAGAGAGUCCACCAUCAGAUGGAGGAGGAGCUCAGCAAGGUCAAACAGGAAGUGAAACACAGCGCGGAGGAGAGCCGAGCUCUGAGGACUCGAAUCCAGCUGGCUGAGGCAGCCCAGAAGCAGGCCAGAGGGAUGGAGAUGGACUACGAGGAGGUGAUCCACCUGCUGGAGGCUGAGAUCGCAGAGCUGAAGACUCAGAGGAUGGAGCACCAGGCACCAGCCAACAAGGAGGAGUCGGACGAGCUGAAGAAGAGAGCGGCCGUCCUGGAGUGUCAGCUGCGGAAGAGCGAGGCGGCCAAAAAGGGUUUCGAGAUGUCAACGGGAAAACUGCUGAGCUUUGUGGAGAAUGUUCAGGAGUUCCUACUCGAAAGUCACGGCCCCCCAAAGAGCUACAGCUCCGGAGACGUCAAAGUCGGGGUGUCGUCUCAAGGUCUCGCUGCCCGCUACAAGAAAAGCCCGUGGACGGCGGCCACACUCGCCCAGGAGGCGCAGGAGCUCACUCGGACUGUCAGAGCCAUCCUGGAUGUUGACUUGCUGAGCUUCUAGACGACCCGACUGUUGGAGAACAAAGUCGUCGAGAUGUCGGCCGGACUUCAGCAUCCAGCCGUGAUCCCCACCGCUCUCUCCCCAACGCCUCCUCAGCUCCUGCUGAAGGACUCGCCAUGUCAGAACUCUGCAUGAAAGCAUCUGCACACAGAACAGCAGCUUUAUUCCAGCGUUUUAACCUGCGUUCGCUGCAGGACGGGUCAGGUGUUUCACCUGGAAACACGACAGGAGAGAGUUUGGUGCAGGUUAACUCACUCGAUGAAGGCGUCUGUGAAGCUGAGCGGCUACAUGAAUGUUUUCAAGUUUGGCCAUCGAUGAGAGAAACGGCACCAAAACCCGCAGCUCCACAUUCACAAUCAAUUGUUGUUAAUUGCCUGAAGAGAAAGUUUUCAUAUUGUUCAUAUUCGUAAUAGAACUCAGCUUUAUUUAAACAUCAUUACUUUUCUUUGUCAAAGUGCUAAUUUAUGUUUGUAACCAUUUUCAGCCCUCAGUGUUAGCAUUAUCAGCUAAUUAGUGCUGAGGAACAUCCGAAUAAAAGCCUAGAAUUUCAAAAACCAACAUUUAAAGGUCGGCUCUGCGGCGCUUUUUCAGAUUCUUCACAAAAUUUUAACGCAUAAAAGAAACGUGAACGUUAAUAAACAGCCGAUGCAGGUUCAACGUGACAUUUUCAGGUGGACGAAUACGAAAAUCCACAGAAUUAAAAUGUAUAAUAAAUGUUUUUUUAAACAUAUAGAUGUUAAUAAUCACUGUAUGAUGAUGAUGAUGCAAAGUUCAUAUUGGUCUAUCCAUUAAAUACAGGCGGCAUGCAGACACACAGCAGCUUUGUUAUUGGUCAGUUAGACGUUAUUUCUUAUCUUUCCAUCAUUUCCUGUUAUAAUGGCACCAGAACUCACGAUUAACCUGGUGGGUGGAUAAAACAUUCAUGUAGUCCUUUGACUCCUGCCCUGCCUCUGUCUCAAUAAAUAUCUUCAUUUAACAAACAGUAUAAACAAUGUAAACUUACACAUUACAGUAUCAUAAGGUUGCCAUGUGCAGUAGCUGCCGCUCCGCCACGAGCGAGCUCACACAGCUUAGAUAACUUACUGUAGUUUCUGUCUCAUAGCUCAGUGUUUAGUGUCUGAGUGGCUGAACGCUCGUGUUUGUGCAGUAGAUUAGCCAGCGAAGCAUCAUCGAACAGUACAGGAGGAGAAACCUGCACGCCGCCCCGCACGCGAACGCCAUGUCAGGAAGGACGAUGGUCGCGUUAAAACGGGAACUCUGGGAUUAAAGAGGCCUUCAGGGGCUUUGAUGGCGUUUGGAGGUUUUGCUGUUUGUGUUUUCGGAACAAGCUGCAGAUCCCGCGGCGUUCUCUGGGAAAAAGGAUCAGCCGCUCUCAACCGUACGGUCGUGACUUUUCUCUGAACAGCUGGGCUGCGACUGAGAUUUUUAAAAAGGAAUAAUUUUUCAUGUGAAAUUGUCUGAGACGUAAAGACUGACAGAAGUUUUAGAUUAAGGGUAAAAGAUGUUUAAAAAAUCCCACAUUAAAAUCUCUGAAAACGACCGAACUGUUGUUGAAUAUUUUGUGCUUCCAUUAUCUCAAAUAUUUCCAACAACAUUUGAAUUCUUCUUCAUCUUGGAUGCAUUUCAAUAGCAUCACAUCAUCUUCACUCAGGCCGGCCACCACGCUGACGCAGUAAACCACAGAGGGACAGAAAGACCAGAGGAGACUCAAAAUGAUCCCAAAUACAUAAAAAUCAAAGACUAAGAGACUCAAAUGACACGAGGGCUUUGAUUCAGUCAGUCUAUUUGGAGGAAACGAACACAGAACACACUCUGUCAGGUAACUCUCCAAGCGUCCUUGAAUGCACCACCAGGAAGUGUUUGUCAGGGGAACAAGGAUGUAGUUCCCAAAGGUGUUUCCAGGUGAUACUCGCAGAGAAGGAAGGAGAAGCCUCAGGUACGCUGUGCUGCCCAGGAGAAUGACAGGUAUUCAGGAAAUACACGGAGGUCUUCCCUAUGGCUGGGAGGAAGCUUACACUGCAGACGGAGUGAAAUACUACAUCAAUCACGUGACCCAGACGACCUCAUGGAGCCCUCCCGGGUCGAGCGGCGGCGCCCCGGAGCUGACGCCUCCACCUCAGGAGACUUCAGAGGUGGGGGAAGGGUGUGAUGGAGAGGCGGUGAAGCAGAGACAGAACCCGACCGCAGAGAUGAAG